This 19-nucleotide microRNA is filed under the name Ananas comosus (pineapple). RNAcentral describes it as "microRNA s0759_c97a". Lineage: Eukaryota; Viridiplantae; Streptophyta; Magnoliopsida; Poales; Bromeliaceae. The record is from RNAcentral.
CAAGUACAUCGCUAUAUCU